Molecule: long non-coding RNA, 3664 nt
Organism: Populus nigra (black poplar)
Lineage: Eukaryota; Viridiplantae; Streptophyta; Magnoliopsida; Malpighiales; Salicaceae
Exons: 3
Source: RefSeq, a predicted model, not a curated record
CGACAAGAUGCAACCUUCAAUUAUUAGCAAAGAAAAACACAGCAAGUCUGGUCAUAUAAGACGGCGUCGUUUGAGAAACCUAAACCAAUCAACACAAGAGAAAACCAAGUUCUCUGUCUUUCAGUUAAUGUAACGGUCUUUUUUUUUUUUGAAUUCUCCGUAAUAAAUCCAGCACCUCUCUCUCUCUCUCUCUCUCUCUCUAAAUCUCAACAUUUUUCAAUCUCGAAAGAUCUCUCUCUCUCUCUCUCUCCCAGUAAGUAGAAGCAAUAAUACAUUUUUAGCCGUUCAAAUUCUAUGUAAGAAGGUUUGAUUCUUCUUGUAAUCAUAUGGAAUUUCAAUUUCGAUCAAAGAGAGAAUCUUCAUGCAUUCAAGUUCUCUGUAGUACCCAUCUCUUCCUCUCUCGCUAUAAAUAUGGAUUGGAGGAUUUUCAGAGUUAAAGUUUGGAUCUUUUAGAUUUCACGCUCUAUCCAUGGCAGGCAAAUGAAUUCCCCAUUAACGUUUCCCUUGUGCUCUUGAUGCACGUUAAAAGACGUAAGCAGAUCAAUAAAUACGGUCAUUUGAACCAGAAGAGAGAGAUCAAAUUUCAAACUUGAUGGAAGUGGUAAGAUCACUUUGUUUCAUGAUAGGUUUUCUUUGCUGUAAUGUUUGUGUUUGACUUUUGAAGCGUAGAUGCAAAAUUGAGCUGCUGUUUUUAUUAAUUGCAAAUCAUGAUUCCUCAGAAUAUUUUACAAUUAAUUGCAAAAUCUUCAAAGUCUUAUUCAUGCAUGUUGGUUUUCCUGUCGUAGAGGAUACAAUUUUCAAAAAAUAACCAAUUGUUCUCCUAAUUUAGCAAGAAGAAUCGGAUUUUUAAUAAAGAAGAUGAUUUUUCUCUUUUGGAUUCACUGAAUGCUGUUGUAACUAGCCCAUACUAGUAAAACUAUCACUCAUAGCCGUUGUUCUUGAACCAACAUUGUUGUAUUGUUGUUGGUGUGGCUAUAGAGAAAUAUGUUUAUUGGCAUUUGUCUCUUCCUUUGAAUUGUGAAUUUCUGCUAUGGGAAUAAAGGGAAUGGGAGCUGAUGGAGCAACAAUUCAUUGUGUUGUUUUGUCUAUCCAAACAUAAAAGGUACUAAAAUAAAUUGUAUUGUUUUAGUAAAAUGAUUUCAUAAAUCACUUCUGUAACACCAUUCCUUGCUUUAAAGUUGAUUGCUACUUUGGCGUAGGCCAGGGUUUUGGGGGUCAGUUUCUUUUCCCUUUGCUCUUCGAUUUCACUUUAAAGUCUUACUUCUGAUUUUAUUUGAAGAAAACCCAGCUAAGCUAAAAAUAUCAUGCUGCUUCUUUGAAUUGUGGGAUUCUUAUUUGAUUGGAAUAGGCAGGUGGUUUGGGAGUGAUUUCUGCCUUGUCUUAUUUUCUUAAAGAGUUGUCCUUAAUUUUUCAUAACUAAACACUGCUAUUUAUCCAAAAUCAAUUUUGAAUCUUCUGCCCAUCUUCUUUUUCAUGUGUUUUUUGGGGUUCUUUUCAUGUAUUUUAUUUAUUUAUAUAUGAAUAAAUACUUUGCUUGAUAGUAAAAUUGUUGAGAAAUUCGUAGAACCUAAGGAAUGAAGAAUCUAACAAUCAUCAACUUGCCAUUCUCAUAAGGCCAGGGAUAUGGUAAAUUGAUUUGCUGAUGUGAUGUGAUAUGAUAUUUCUCUUUUCGACUUAUAUUUAGAAUUGAGUUUCUACAUAUACAUGAUUUUUUUAGGUGAUUUAAUAUAUUAGUGAACUUGUCAGAUCUCUAAUAGAUGAUAAGAGAGAGCGCUUCAUUGAUGGUAUGUUUCUGUUGAGAAUGCUGUCAUUUCCUUACUCUUUGCAUGCAUGUCAUCUAGCACAACUACAAACUAUCAUCCUAAAACUAAUGUGAUUAUUUCUGAAAGGUUGACUGCUUACUGUGUUGAAGUCCUCUACAAAGCUGUUGAGAUCAAAGUUUACCUCUUCUUUUCCUUGUUAAUGUAGGGUGUGCUGGGACUUGUAUGUUUAGAUCAAACUUUAUAGCAUUUGAUUAAUCACAAGGGCUGAAAGUAUUGCUCAUCUAAUUAAUCAAUUGUGUGAGGUGUGUGUCAUCUGUUCAUCCUGUUUAAUAGUCUUUCUAUUGCAUGUGAAAAUAUGUAUUGAAAAGGUCUAUGCCAUAUAUGAUUUAUAUAAAAGCCUUAUGAUUAAGUUUUGACGGAUAAAAUUCAUUCAACUUUAUUGCAUUUUUCUCUCUACAUUUUUUCAGACUUCUUGAAGAUGAAAGGUCACAUGGAUAAUAUGCUUCUGAUAUUGUUAUUUAUAGAUACAUUGUUGGUGUGGCUGUAGGGAGUUAUGUUUGUUGGCAUUUGUCUCUUCCUUUGAUUUUUUGAAUUCUUGCUCUGGAAUCAAGGGGAUGAGAGCUGAUGGAGCAACUCUUCAGUGUGUUAUUUUGUGUAAGCAAACAUAAAAAUUGUUACUAACAUAAAUAGCAUUUUUUACUAAAUUGAUUUCGUAAAUCACUUUUUUGUUCUGUUACACCAUUCCAUGCUUAAGCACUUCAGUUAAUAAGAUUUGCUUGCUGAGAGUUUUGUCUUUUCUUAUAUUGAAUAGUAGGACUGUAGAAACAGAAAAGGGCUAAACUAUUAUCUAACUGUUGCAUUAGAUUUUGAAGUUCACGGACUCUAUGUUCUCUCUGUUUUUCUUGUCCCGUCUUUUCUUUGAUGUACUGGUCGUCCCUCUCUCUGUUUCUAGAUUUUGAAGCUCUCCCUCUCUUGAUUCUUUAUUAGAAUGCUAGCAUUCUAACUGUUAUGUACUCUGGUUUGUUGGAGGUUGCGGACCUUGAGAAACUAGAUCCUUGUACAAUGAUGAAUCCUCCCACUGUACACAUGGUAUUCUUGUUUGUUAUUUAUAUAUCUUGCAUUCUUGCUUAGCUGAAUUCCAUGUUCAACAAUUGCAUUUGCUAUUUUGCUUAUUAGAUGCUAUUUCAGUACCUCAUGUAUGUAGAUGUUUGCAUAUAUGCUUGAAAGAGAGGAAAACUAGCAGUGCUUUUCAUACAGUAUAGUGCUGGUUUCAAGUGAUUCCAUGUAUGUAAUCUUGCUGUCUAAUAUCUUCUUUUUGCACCACUAAAGGCAUAUUUUUCCUCUGUUUUAAUCCUUGAAAGUUAUUAUUGUAUAUAAGGGGUUACAAACUUUUGUCCUUGCAACUAGCAUCUGCCCUUCUUAUUACAAGCUUGGGGACUAAUCCUACCAGUGGCAAUUUCUCGAGGCCAAAUCCUUAGUAACUAAUAUUGUGGACAUGGUUGAUGGUACUUUAGUAACUAAUAUCUCUUGAUAUUCUUUCUAGCUCUAGCAAAUUUCUCAAAAGAGGACAUUAAUGUUUCAUGUUACCAUCUUCUAAGACACGAUCAUCUUUUGAGUUUGAUUCCCUUGAGACCCUGGCUUUCCACUUCUCACAUAUUUCCUGUUCAUCUUUUGAGCAGUAAAUUUAAAUUCUUUGAAGUUCAUGUACGUGAAGAAUGCUUGGCAUCUUUUUACUAGUGCAUUCAUGGAAGGUUGAUAAGUGUCUUGAUGUAUGUAUCUACAGAGAUCAACAACAUUUGAGAUAUUAUUUGGCGGUCAUGAUUUGAUUACUCCAAACUACAUAUUAUAUUAUUGAAAAGAUCACUUGUGAUAUAAUUUGAGAUGAAAAUUGGUUUUAUGAA